Molecule: transfer RNA, 76 nt
Filed under: Endozoicomonas sp. G2_1
Lineage: Bacteria; Pseudomonadati; Pseudomonadota; Gammaproteobacteria; Oceanospirillales; Endozoicomonadaceae
Description: tRNA-Thr
Rfam family: tRNA
About the family: Transfer RNA (tRNA) molecules are approximately 80 nucleotides in length. Their secondary structure includes four short double-helical elements and three loops (D, anti-codon, and T loops).
Source: RNAcentral
UUACAGGUAGCUCAAUUGGUAGAGCAGCGAACUAGUAAUUCGUUUGUUGUGGGUUCAAAUCCCACCCUAUAAACCA